UACGUAGGGUGCAAGCGUUGUCCGGAAUUAUUGGGCGUAAAGAGCUCGUAGGCGGUCUGUCGCGUCUGCUGUGAAAACUCAGGGCUUAACCCUGAGCUUGCAGUGGGUACGGGCAGACUAGAGUGCGGUAGGGGGAGACUGGAAUUCCUGGUGUAGCGGUGAAAUGCGCAGAUAUCAGGAGGAACACCGGUGGCGAAGGCGGGUCUCUGGGCCGUAACUGACGCUGGAGGAGCGGAAAGCAUGGGGAGCGAACAG
RNAcentral lists this ribosomal RNA (255 nucleotides) under uncultured bacterium. RNAcentral describes it as "partial 16S ribosomal RNA". It matches the Rfam family "Bacterial small subunit ribosomal RNA", at positions 524 to 775 of the family's 1533-position model. The record is from RNAcentral.